CUUGGCGACCAUAGCGUUUUGGACCCACCUGAAUCCAUUCCGAACUCAGAAGUGAAACGAAAUAGCGUCGAUGGUAGUGUGGGGUUUCCCCAUGUGAGAGUAGAACAUCGCCAGGC
This is a non-coding RNA of Vibrio vulnificus YJ016, 116 nucleotides long. The record is from Rfam. NCBI's taxonomy places the organism in Bacteria, Pseudomonadati, Pseudomonadota, Gammaproteobacteria, Vibrionales, Vibrionaceae.